CCCUGAUUUAACUGAGUAUGAAUUCUUUUGAAUAAUAGUGUUUUUUUUAAUUAUGAAAACUUAUUAUUUAUUAUUUUUUAUAAUGACUGGCUUCCUUAUUCGGCUAAAAAUUAUUCAGCAUCUUCAAAAUUUCUUUUAGAGUUACCAAAAAACGAAAAAAUCGAAAAAAAAAAUGGAAUAAAAAACUUUACAAAAUGGCAUAGAGUUCAAGGCGAUAUCUCGCAAAAAAAUUUCAAUUUUCAAACGCUGAUUACGGCCAAACUAAAGGAGCUAGGAGAAAACGGUUUUUUCUAUCGUAAAGAGGACAUCACAAUCCAUAAGAUAGGAUCGGUUUCAUUUGAUUUUGAGACAUUUUAAAAAUUGGCAGAUUUUAAGGGUUAAUAAAGAUGUCAACUUUUUUUUAUUUUUUUUUAUUUUCUCAAUUACAGCUAUACUAUUCGAAAAAGUGGAACUAUUUUAAUUCCUACCUAUGCAAAAUGAUCCGGGGAAUCGAUUGGCAUCGAGAAAAUUGCCAAAUUCCCAAUAGUUUUUUAGUUAUGAAUUUUUUAAAAUUUUACCAAUUUUUGCAUUUAUCUGCAAUUUUCUCGAAAACUACUAGUCGGAGAACAAUAAUCUUUUUUGAAAAAAAUAGAUAAUUUAAAGAGCUUUUUAACGAUAAUACACUUCAUAGAGUGAUCUCUAAUAGUUCCAGAGUUAUUCCUCGAUAAAUGUUCCGGGUACCGAAAACUGACCAAAAUCGUGACAAUAAUUGAAAAAAAUCAAACAUCAAAAAAUCGAACAAAUGGACUUAUUUUGAACUUUUAACAACUCUAGAGGGAUGUAAAAGCAUAUAUAAGUCCAAAAAACAAUGACAGAACGAGUUAAAAAAAAUAAUUUUUUCACUUCAACGCAAACACUUUAUUGAAAUUUGCAAAUUCUUAAUUUAUUUUUCAAGCGCCGAUUCGAUUAGAACGGGCUUUGAAAAAAACUACAUAAUGACAAUGGCGCAGAUUUCAAGGCGAUAAUUAUGCAAUAAAAUGUUCAUAUUGUUUAACACAUUGCAUAAUUGGAAAAAAAAUGGUAGGUAAGUACAUAAAUUUUUAAACGGGUUCGAUUCUUCCGAAAACAGAUGUAAAUAUUUGACGAAAUUUGAUUGGAUUUUUUGUAGCAGAUGGGAACAAUGUUGACCGAAAAAAACCUCGAUAAAUGUUUAAUAUUCUAGUAAGUAUAAAGAUUGAGUUUUCACUGCUGCACUUUUCCAAUAAUUAGUAUGACGGUACAUAAGGAAAAACUGGACCUUGAAACAAUUUUUCCGUGUCAAGAUCAAAGUUAAUACACUGACUCAGGUGGUGAGAGAAUUUUAAUCCUAGUCGCCCCCCCUUUACAAAAAAAAACCCAAACACAAAGAAGGAUUUAAACCGACGAUAAAUACUCACCGAAAUAAGAAAAGGAAAAUCCGGUCGAAAAUCUGAAACAAAGAGCAACGUUUUAGUGGAAAAGAAGCUUUACAAUUGAAUAUUUAAUCAAGAGGAAAAGUCUCGACUGGUUUUUGCUUUGGCAAUUUCCACGUUCUUUAAAAAAUAAUUUAGCAAAACGACAAUCAUUCAAGGAGCCUUCAUACGACCCCAAUAAAUUCAUUUUAUCUUUA
This is a long non-coding RNA of Tribolium castaneum (red flour beetle), 1627 nucleotides long. RefSeq lists it as uncharacterized. Lineage: Eukaryota; Metazoa; Arthropoda; Insecta; Coleoptera; Tenebrionidae. The transcript has 2 exons. The record is from RefSeq and is a predicted model, not a curated record.